This is a long non-coding RNA of Salvia splendens (bonfire salvia), 435 nucleotides long. RefSeq lists it as uncharacterized. Lineage: Eukaryota; Viridiplantae; Streptophyta; Magnoliopsida; Lamiales; Lamiaceae. The record is from RefSeq and is a predicted model, not a curated record. The transcript is spliced from 3 exons.
AUCGGAGGGAGGGAGUAUAAUAUUCAUCAUCUAGAAACGUGCGACGACCAUAAAAAUCAUAGCUAGAUACUGUAGAUCAUCAUAUUUGAAGUGAUAGCAGUUAGAACAGUAGUUUAUAUGUUUGCCGGAUAAUGCGAAGAAAUUCGAGGCUAUGCGAAAUUGCUCACAAACUGUCGGCACUUUUCUUCUUCAGGUGUUCAUCAAAAGGGCUGGGAAAAAUCGAAUUUACCAAAUCGUGAUGGAAAAAUAUGAGGAUUUGAGUAAGAAGAAAGAAAUCAAAAUUGCUGCUUGUCGAAGAUUCUGAUCAGUUGGUUCAUUUCCACCACAUUCCUAAACCUUUUAGGCCUCCAUAUAACAACACCUCUGUUCUUCAACCACUUAUCGAACAAUCGAAUCGUGUUCCCGACAAGCAAAACCCCCAUCACACCGCACCAC